GCAAAGCCUCCUACCCCCUUGUCAAGUCUAGUGUAGCCAUUGUAAAGCCUCCUACCCCCUUGAGUCUAGUCUAGUGUAGCCAAUGUAAAGCCUCCUACCCCCUUGGGUCUAGUGUAGCCAAUGUAAAGCCUCCUACCCCCUUGGGUCUAGUGUAGCCAAUGUAAAGCCUCCUACCCCUUUGGGUCUAGUGUAGCCAAUGUAAAGCCUCCUACCCCCUUGGGUCUAGUGUAGCCAAUCCAAUGUAAAGCCUCCUACCCCCUUGGGUCUAGUGUAGCCAAUGAAAAGCCUCCUAUCCCCUUGAGUCUAGUGUAGCCUAUACUACACUCUUAGAAAAAAAGGUGCUAUCUACAACCGAAAAGGGUUCUUCGGCUGUCCCCAUAGGAGAACCCUUUUUGGUUCCAUGUGGUACCCUUUCCACAGAAGGUUUUACCAGGAACCAAAAAGGGUUCUCCUAUGGGGACUUUUUUGGAACAGUUUUUUCUAAGAGUUUACCUACCUGUGUAGCCUACAGAUCGUACAGGCUAGCACUACCGACUCCUACCCUCUAUAGCAGGGGUGGGCAAACUUUUUGGCUCGAGGGCCACAUCGGGAUUUUGAAAUUCAAUGGGGGGGAGCAUUUUUUGGGAGAUCAAUUUUGUUAAAAUCAAUUUGCGGGAGCCUCUCGAGUGGCGCAGCAGUCUAAGGUACUUCAUCGCAGUCUUUGAGGCGUCACUAGAGACCUGGGUUCGAUCCCAGGCUGUGUCACAGCUGGCCAGUUCCUGGGAGACCCAUGAGGCGGCACACAAUUGGCCCAGCGUCAUCCAGGUUAGGAGAGGGUUUGACAGGCCAAGAUUAACAUUUCCCAUCGCGCUCUAGUUACUCCUGUGGUGGGCCGGGCACAUGGCCCCUGACACGGUUGCCAGGUGUACGGUGUAUACAGAACAUUGGUGCGGCUGGCUUCCGGGUUAAGCGGGCGUUGUGUCAAGAAGCAGUGUGGCUUGGCUGGUUCGUGUUUCGUGCGACGCACAACUCUCAACCUUCGCCUCUCCAUAUGGGAGUUGCAGCGAUGGGACAAAACUACCUACCAAUUGGAAACCAUGAAAUUGGGGCGAAAUAAACAGGUAAUGUCUACAGGCUUCUACUCUCUACAGGCUUCUACAGGCUUCUACC
Long non-coding RNA from Oncorhynchus tshawytscha (Chinook salmon), 1149 nucleotides. The record is from Ensembl. NCBI's taxonomy places the organism in Eukaryota, Metazoa, Chordata, Actinopteri, Salmoniformes, Salmonidae.